UACGUAGGGGCUAGCGUUAUCCGGAAUUACUGGGCGUAAAGGGUGCGUAGGCGGUCUUUCAAGCCAGAAGUGAAAGGCUACGGCUCAACCGUAGUAAGCUUUUGGAACUGUAAGACUUGAGUGCAGGAGAGGAGAGUGGAAUUCCUAGUGUAGCGGUGAAAUGCGUAGAUAUUAGGAGGAACACCAGUAGCGAAGGCGGCUCUCUGGACUGUAACUGACGCUGAGGCUCGAAAGCGAGGGGAGCAAACAGGAUUAGAUACCCUGGUAGUCCCU
RNAcentral lists this ribosomal RNA (273 nucleotides) under uncultured prokaryote. Its description in RNAcentral is "partial 16S ribosomal RNA". It matches the Rfam family "Bacterial small subunit ribosomal RNA", at positions 524 to 798 of the family's 1533-position model. The record is from RNAcentral.